This 148-nucleotide small RNA is filed under the name Callithrix jacchus (white-tufted-ear marmoset). RNAcentral describes it as "Metazoan signal recognition particle RNA (ENSCJAG00000077268.1)". Lineage: Eukaryota; Metazoa; Chordata; Mammalia; Primates; Cebidae. The record is from Rfam by way of RNAcentral.
GCCGGGCGUGUUGGCACGCGCCCAUAGUCCCAGUUACUCGGGAGGCUGAGGCAGGAGAAUCGCUUGAGCCCAGGAGGCGGAGUUUGCAGUGAGCCGAGAGAGUGCCACUGCACUCCAGCCUGGGCGACAGAGCGAGACUCCGUCUCAA